Petromyzon marinus (sea lamprey) is the source of this 352-nucleotide non-coding RNA. The record is from RefSeq and is a predicted model, not a curated record. Lineage: Eukaryota; Metazoa; Chordata; Hyperoartia; Petromyzontiformes; Petromyzontidae.
UGAGUCUGUGUGUGAGUCUCCGUGUGUUUGACUCCCCCUGUGCUUGCAGAACUGUAACAGCCGCAUCGACGACAUCUUCUCCCAGAGGGUCUACAUCAUCGCCGCUGUCGGCAUCGGCUUCGGCAUCAUGAUGGUCGCCGGCCUCGUGAUCAGCGCCAUGCUGUGCGGGGCCAUUCGGCAAGAAGCAAACUCCGACUAGCAAGUCACGUGGGCACCGUGACGCAACCCCAGGCGGAGUGGAAGGGAGGUGACGGUGACCAUGGGAUGAAGAACGCCUCGAGCACACACACAGCGUGUACACACACACACAGUGUACACACAGUGUACACAGUGUGUGUGUGUGUACACACAC